GUGGGGAAUAUUCCGCAAUGGACGAAAGUCUGACGGAGCAACGCCGCGUGAGUGAUGAAGGUUUUCGGACUGUAAAGCUCUGUUGUUUAGGACGAAAGUGCCUGUUGCAAAUAGUUACAGGUAUUGACGGUACUGAACGAGGAAGCCACGGCUAACUACGUGCCAGCAGCCGCGGUAAUACGUAGGUGGCAAGCGUUGUCCGGAAUUAUUGGGCGUAAAGAGCAUGUAGGCGGGAAUCUAAGUCUGUUGUGAAAAUGCGGGGCUCAACCCCGUAUUGCGAUGGAAACUGGGUUUCUUGAGUGCAGGAGAGGAAAGGGGAAUUCCAAGUGUAGCGGUGAAAUGCGUAGAGAUUUGGAAGAACACCAGUGGCGAAGGCGACUUUCUGGACGAUGUCUGACGCUGAGGCGCGAAAGCGUGGGGAGCAAACAGGAUUAGAAACCCGUGUAGUCC
RNAcentral lists this ribosomal RNA (450 nucleotides) under uncultured bacterium. Its description in RNAcentral is "partial 16S ribosomal RNA". It matches the Rfam family "Bacterial small subunit ribosomal RNA", at positions 354 to 796 of the family's 1533-position model. The record is from RNAcentral.